GCUCAGAUUGAACGCUGGCGGCAGGCCUAACACAUGCAAGUCGAACGGUAACAGGAAACAGCUUGCUGUUUCGCUGACGAGUGGCGGACGGGUGAGUAAUGUCUGGGAAACUGCCUGAUGGAGGGGGAUAACUACUGGAAACGGUAGCUAAUACCGCAUAACGUCGCAAGACCAAAGAGGGGGACCCUCGGGCCUCUUGCCAUCGGAUGUGCCCAGAUGGGAUUAGCUUGUUGGUGGGGUAACGGCUCACCAAGGCGACGAUCCCUAGCUGGUCUGAGAGGAUGACCAGCCACACUGGAACUGAGACACGGUCCAGACUCCUACGGGAGGCAGCAGUA
Molecule: ribosomal RNA, 338 nt
Filed under: uncultured bacterium
Lineage: Bacteria
Description: bacterial SSU rRNA
Rfam family: Bacterial small subunit ribosomal RNA
Source: RNAcentral